CUUUUUAAUAUUUAAUUAUGUGUUGUUAUAUCUUAUUUGGUACAGAAUUUUGUUUUACUCUUUUAGGAUUCUCUUUUGGUUUUGGUUUUUCCCUCUAACCAUUGAUACCACCUUUGCCAAACCAGGUAGUAGUCAGAUUCUUCCUUUCCUUGAAUUUCCUUGGCUUACGGGAUCAUUAAUGUUUGCAAACAAUUGCAAAAGAUGUUUGAAAAGUAUCAGGAAUCUUCUGACAAAUGAUAUGGAUCACCAACAAACAACAACUCUGUGAGGUGGAUUGGGCUGAGAGAAAGCGACUGGCCCAUAGACUCCUAACUGGCUUUCACGAUUAAGGCAGGAAUUGAACUCACAGUCUUCCACUUUCUCGCCUGUUGUCUUAACCAUUAGACCAAACUGACUUCAAGAAUUCGGGUGGACUAUUUGUGUCAAAUCACAUUGCUUGAGAAUGAAAAGAACUGGAAUUGAAGAAUAACUGGCAGCCGAUCCUUACAAUGCUUUACCAGAUGGCCCAGUUGCCCAGCUCCAGUAUAAAGACAGUGACUACAUAGAGACUAAUCAAAGUCUGGGAUUUGUCCAAACUAUUGAACAUGAUCCUGAUUCAGCAGCUUCCUUCUCCAUCUUAUUU
Long non-coding RNA from Pantherophis guttatus, 622 nucleotides. RefSeq lists it as uncharacterized. The record is from RefSeq and is a predicted model, not a curated record. NCBI's taxonomy places the organism in Eukaryota, Metazoa, Chordata, Lepidosauria, Squamata, Colubridae.